AUACUUACCUGGCAGGGGAGAUACCAUGAUCGUGAAGGUAGUUUUCCCGGGGUGAACCUUAUCCUUUGCACUCCAGAUGUGCUGACCUCUGCAACUUCCCCAAAUGUGGGAAACCUGACUGCAUAAUUUGUGAGAGUGGAGGAUUGCUUUCACUCUCA
This 158-nucleotide small nuclear RNA is filed under the name Nannospalax galili (Upper Galilee mountains blind mole rat). RNAcentral describes it as "U1 spliceosomal RNA (ENSNGAG00000003957.1)". It matches the Rfam family "U1 spliceosomal RNA". From Rfam's summary of the family: U1 is a small nuclear RNA (snRNA) component of the spliceosome (involved in pre-mRNA splicing). Its 5' end forms complementary base pairs with the 5' splice junction, thus defining the 5' donor site of an intron. Lineage: Eukaryota; Metazoa; Chordata; Mammalia; Rodentia; Spalacidae. The record is from RNAcentral.